Molecule: long non-coding RNA, 1659 nt
Filed under: Homo sapiens (human)
Lineage: Eukaryota; Metazoa; Chordata; Mammalia; Primates; Hominidae
Description: HSALNT0297845
Source: RNAcentral
CUCCUUACCAAACUCUACAAAUAAUCUUCUGUCUUAAGAGCACCCAGGAUGUGUUUUCAUUGGAAUUAGCUAGCCCUGGGAAAGACAGUCCCUCCAGAGUUAGCAACACCCCAAGAUGUCAAAGAUAAAAAUGCAAAAAUUAAAACUCCAUGAUUAACACAACUUUGAAGUCCUUCUCACUUGUCUUUAGAUGAAGGGCAACAUCAUUGCAACAAGUCACACUUUGAGAACUCAAGAGAAUAUGUUUGUUCUGAAAAUCCAGGAAUUAUUGCCAACCCAUGGUUGUCUCCAUAUGUCUUGGGAAAAAUAGGAAAAGGAUUUUUUGAGUUGGUGAUUUGAAUCCAAGACACAAAGAUUCAGGCUCUGGUAAAAAGAUUGUAUAGGCUAUAUUGGCUGACAUAAAAGAGACAUAAAAGGCACACAAUGAAAUCUUAAUAAAUGUAUUGGAUGUUGCAGCAUUAACUGAUGAGCCAGACAAUGUAAAGACCUCAGACUACCAAAUGUUUUGAAAGACGAAUAGUGAAUGUGAAACUGUGAACCAAAAUAGAUUUUUAGAAUCCUUGAAAAAAUAGAGCUAGAGAAAGUCUUUGAGACCAUUGAUUGCAAAUAUUUGAGUUUACAACUGAGCAAAUGGAGAAAAGAGAAGUGACUCGUCAGUCCAACAAGUGGCAGAAUCAGAACCAGACCCCAAUGCUUGGGUCUUCUGUCCCUCCUGGCACCAAAGUCACCUAUCAUAAGUAACUUGAGUUUCAGAGGGGAAGGAAAAGACUACAAUGUCCCAGCACUGUUCCAGACACUUUUUAGGGGACUCCAAGACACCUUGUGUAAUGCCUAUUUUAAGUAGCUGGAAGAUUCUAUAGCAUGGGAAAAGCCCACUGAAGGCAAAAGUAAACAUUACCUAUUGUGGUCCUGGAAAAGAAAAUCAUCUCUCAUUUAUCUCCUGGAGCUGUUUGACGAACUUGUGCCCUGGUUUUACUUUGGGAGCCACCUUUCUCUUUCAGGUGCUGUCUCAGUGGAAUAGUCAACCAAUGUAUCCUACAUUUUGGACCAGCAGAAGGAAGUAAUGAGAACAGAAAACAAAUAAGAAGUGAGUUGGAGGGAGAAGGAGACUUUAGCAUCUUCCUGAAAUCAGGAAGAAAGUUUCAAGAAUAAAGUAAUCCAUAGGGUCAAAUACUGCAGUAAGUUUAAUUAGGAUGAAGACUGCAAAGAUGGUAUUAGUUUGGUACUUAGGACAUUGGUGACCUCCACAGGUGACUUUCAGGAGAAUUAUCUGGGGAACUUGUUGAUAGAAUUUGUGAAUCUCCACCUUUAGGGAUUCUGAUUUAGAAGGAGUAGGAAGAAGGCCUUAGGAUCUCCAUUUAUAACAACCACUACUGAUUAUUUUGAGGCAGGUAGCAUACAGACCACAUUUGAAAGAAACACUAGGUAAGUGUGAUUUUCAUUCAAAGGACAAAAAACAUAAAGUUACCUAAUUCAGGGACCAUUUCAAAGACCAAAUCAAAUCAGUAGCCUGGCUGAUCUGAUCGACUGCGCAGAAACUAGCCAUUACCAUGGCAAAGUGGGGAGGAACAGUCAAUAAAAAGCAAUUGAUGGCCAGGCGCGGUGGCUCACGCCUGUAAUCCCAGCACUUUGGGAGGCCAAGGCGGGCGGAUCACGAGG